AUCCCUUGCUGGUCUCCAGGCUGUUGGUGGGCGGGUACGAGGCCUGGGCGCUGCGGCCGCAGGACCAGAGGACCUGCCCCGCAGCUGUCCCUGCGCAGGUGCUGAAGAUUCCCCGAGGGCUCCGAGACUGGAUAGAUGGGGGAGCUGGCGAGGACGGAAUCACUGGCAUUUAAGGAUGUGGCUGUGGGAUUCAGCUGGGAGAAAUGGAGAAUGCUGGGCCUUCUGCAAAGGGACCUGUACAGGAAUACGAUGCUGGAAAACUAUGAGAAUCUUGUCUCCCUAGAUACCCUGAAGCAGGAGACUAGAUGUGAAAUCAGUGACUCACAUCUUAUGAAGGAUAUUUGCAUGGGAACAUCAUCCCAGAAAAAAACUUCAAAAGCAUAGCUUCUGCCAAUCCAAAUUGGGAAAUGCUAUGGAAUGUAAUCUUAAUUUAGAGAGACAACAGGAGGUACAAUCAAAACAAGUAGUAGUUCCUCAGGGAAUAGUUUUAAAGAAAAUUAACAUGCCUCCAUGUAAUUCAUUUCGGAGAAGUGUUAGCCGGAGUCUGUGUUUGUUCUGUCAUGUAGGAACCCCUUUAGUUAUAAUUCCUACAAUGUUAAACUUCGUAUAAUUCACUCCGUAGAAAAACUAAAUGAACUCAUUGAAUGUGGAAAAGCCUUUGACAGAAGACCCUAUCUCAGAGGACAUGAGAGAAUUCCUUUUGGGGAGAAACCCUAUGAAUGUCAUAAAUGUGGAAAAACUUUCAGACACAAGAGAAGCUUGAGAAAACAUGAGAGAAUUCAUACUGGAGAGAAACCCUUUGGAUGUAAUGAGUGUGGAAAAUCCUUUGAUGAGAAAGGAAGUCUUGUUAGACAUCAGAGAACUCAUACUGGAGAGAAACCUUUUGAAUGUAAUCAAUGUGGGAAAUCCUACAGUAAGAGGGGAAACCUUAUUAGUCAUCAGAGAACUCAUACAGGAGUGAAACCCUUUCGAUGCAGUGAAUGUGGUUAAGCCUUUAGUGAGAGGUGAACCCUUGUUAUAUAUCAGAGAACUCAUACUGGAGUGAAACCCUUUGAAUGUAAUCAGUGUAGGAAAGGUUUCAGGCAGCAGGGCCAUCUCAUUUGCCAUCAGAUAACUCAUAUUAGAGUGAAACCCUUUGAAUGUAAUGACUGUGGGAAAGCCUUUUGUGAGCGGACAAGCCUAAAGAAACAUCAGAUAAUUCAUAUAAGAGAAACUAUUUUUAAUACAAUAAAUGUGAGAAAGUCUUUGGUGAGAAGGAAGUCUUUAAUAAAAAUUAGAGAAUUCAUGUUGGAAAGAAAUCUUUUAAUUUUAGUAAUAUAAUUUGAAAAUUCAGGCACAGUGGAAACUUAAAAUAAUUUAUGUUUAGAAGAGAGAAUAUCUGUGUAUUGAGCGUGGGUAGGCCAUCAAUUUUUUAUCCUUUAUUUGUCAUCAGAUACUCCCUAAGGGAGAGAAACAAGACAAAAAUAUCGAAUAGGUACGUUUUCUAUCCCAGUGGGUGGGAGCACCUCUCUCCUAGAAUGUAAGCUGCUUUCAGGCUAUAAUUAUUUCAUUUAGGUUUUGUAUGCUUUGUAUUUAACAUAAUGUUGAGUACGUAGAUAACUCUUAAAUACUGAAUUUGUUAAGCUAUCAGAUAGUUUACUACCUGUCAGAAUGUACUCUUGUGAGAAACCUUUUAAAUUCAUUUUGGAAAGUGCUUCAGAAUCAUUAAUGAAAUAAUGUGGAAGAAACAGAUUCUGUAUCAUAUUUGCUAUGAGAAUAAUAAAACCUAGCAUUUAUAUAAAUUUAAGGUUUACAAAGUACUUUACAUGUUAUCUCAUCUGACCCUCAUAAUAACCAGGUGAGGUAUGUGUUAUUAUUAUCUCCCUUUUACAGAUAAGGAACGAUAGAAAAGUUAAAAGACUUUGGCCAGGUCCAUAUAGCUAAUAAGUCUUUGAGGCAGGAUUUUAACUCAUAUUUUCUUGAUUCCAAGUCCCUCUAUCUAUUCUGCAACCUAGUAUUAAACCCACAUCCUGGACCCUGGGUUCUUGAAGGGUCUCAAUUUUUUUUUAGAACUUUGUUGUCCCUGUUUCAAUAUAAUUGGUUUCCUCUGUAAUCCUGUGUAUUUUAUUUUAUGGAUUUGAAAACAUUAUUUUGAGGAAUCUAUCAGUUUUACCCAACAAUCCAGGGCACAAAUAGGUUAAGAAUUCCUUUCAUAGACUGCUAGAGGUUAAUGGCAGUGAUGUAUGAAUUUGGGAAAUGCUUCAUAAAGACUCAUCUUUUGUUAAAUACUGAUAUUAGAACUCUAGAUUGCAGAAUGUCACCAGUUUUUCUAUUUGGUUCUUUGCAAGAAAAAAAAUUGGUUUUCUUUUAUUAUCUUUGCUGUAACACACCAGGAGGUACCAGAUGGCAUAAGUUAUUGAUGGUUUUAGCAAAACCAUGUAUGGAUUUUGGGGAGACAGUGAUAUGGAGAAAUCACACAUUUAUUUUUUAUUCUAAAUUUAGUAACUAAAAAAAAUUAUAUGUGAAAGAGUAAUUUCCUUUAUUUACAUUUGCUAAAUGAAACAUGUAUACCUUUAUUUUUAAAAAAUGGUAACAAAAAGUUUCUGUUUUCUUCCUUGCCAAUUUCUGAAUUUGUUUUAUUUUGUGUAGUUUUCUGGAUUAUGACAAUGUUUCAUAUGUUGCUAUAGUUUGUAUGUUGUGAUCACAGUUUUUUCACUUUGCAUCACUUCAUGUAAGUAAUCUUCCCUCUCUGCUUUCUGGGGGCAGCUAGAUGG
This is a long non-coding RNA of Vombatus ursinus (common wombat), 2753 nucleotides long. RefSeq lists it as uncharacterized. The record is from RefSeq and is a predicted model, not a curated record. NCBI's taxonomy places the organism in Eukaryota, Metazoa, Chordata, Mammalia, Diprotodontia, Vombatidae. The transcript has 3 exons.